This 442-nucleotide ribosomal RNA is filed under the name uncultured bacterium. Its description in RNAcentral is "partial 16S ribosomal RNA". It matches the Rfam family "Bacterial small subunit ribosomal RNA", at positions 338 to 795 of the family's 1533-position model. The record is from RNAcentral.
CCUACGGGUGGCAGCAGUGGGGAAUAUUGGGCAAUGGGCGCAAGCCUGACCCAGCAACGCCGCGUGAAGGAAGAAGGCUUUCGGGUGGUAAACUUCUUUUAAGGGGGAAGAGCAGAAGACGGGACGCCUUGAAUAAGCCACGGCUAACUACGGGCCAGCAGCCGCGGUAAUACGUAGGUGGCAAGCGUUGUCCGGCUUUACUGGGUGUAACGGGCGGGCAGCCGGAGAGAAAAGGCAGAUGGUCAAUCCAAGGGCUCAACCCGUGAACUGCAUUUGAAACUGUUUCCCUGGAGGGGCGGAGUGGUAAUCGGCAUUCCUUGUGUCGCGGUGACAUGCGUAGAUCUCAGGCAGAACCCCAGUGGCGACGGCGGCUUACUGGACUAUAACUGACGGUGAGGCGCGAAAGCGUGGGGAGCACACCGGAUUAGCUCCCCGGGUAGUC